This is a non-coding RNA of Pelobates cultripes (western spadefoot toad), 1012 nucleotides long. The record is from the annotation of a GenBank genome assembly. NCBI's taxonomy places the organism in Eukaryota, Metazoa, Chordata, Amphibia, Anura, Pelobatidae.
GCCACAUGAAAAAAUAAACACUGUUUAUAAGCAAAGACAGAUAGCAUCUUUCAGACUAAAGAAAUUGAGAGAACUCAUUACAGAUAAGCUACACUAAGACGACUUCCACCAGAAAGACUUUAUUAUUUAAACACAUACCUAACACAUCUGUUCGUGUUUUUUCAUCAGAAAACCAAAAUGUAGCAUUUCCACACUGUUGCUAGCUGUAUGCAAUAGAUGGAUCUGUAGAUAAAAAUGGGGGCUGCAUGCAUACACACUCAGGAAUGAAUUAAAGGUACAUCGUCCUUAUCUCAGUGGCAGAUUGAGCCCCAACAAAAAUAAAAUGAGUAUAGAUCUUGAUGACUUAUCCUGUUUGGUCAAUACGAUCCAUGGUGGCUAUUUUCAUGGUAGUCAGGUGGAAAUGUUCGUAAAAACCAGCGAAUGGAAUGGCAAAAUUGACAGUAGUCUAGGAUGGGGGUUGGGUAAGAGAGUGUGAGGGGGGAGGGCAGCUGGGAUGGUGUGUUUUUUUCUUUUGUUUUUUUUUUAAGAAAUAGUUGAGGAGGCUAAAAUAAAGGUACUGGAUGUGAAAACAAAUGAAGUAGAUAGGUGUAAUGUGCAAGAUAUGUGUGUGUUUUAAAGGUAGGUGUGGGUAUUAGCAAGAGUUAAUGGUGUGUGCAAUAAAUGAGUUAUGUGUGUUACAUUGAUUUAUAUGAGAGAGGGACAGAAGUUUGUGAAGUGUGUGUGUGUGUGUGUAAUGAGAGCUCUCUGUUAGUGAUUUAUAUGAGAGAAGGACAGUGGUUUGUGUGUAAAUGUGUUGAGGUUGUUGCUGUUUGUAUAAAAGGAAUUGUGUGCAAGAUAAGCAGAGGUGUGUGUGUGUGCGUGCUAAUGAGGGAGAGAUCUGUGUGUAGAAUAGAGUUUUAUGGUGAGAAAAAGUCAAAGGUUUGUGAUGUCUACUGAGAAUGUUGGUGUGUGUACAAGAGGGGAAAGUGAGUGUUUAAAAGGAGCAGGGGUGAGUGUUGUGUAGUGUUCUCCG